CUUUGAUAAAGGCAAACUUAUUGAAAAAUAAGGACGCAAAACUAAAGGUCUAAAGUCCUGGUUAGGGAACUAUGAUCGCCGGGUUGCCGAA
Molecule: non-coding RNA, 91 nt
Filed under: Domibacillus iocasae
Lineage: Bacteria; Bacillati; Bacillota; Bacilli; Caryophanales; Bacillaceae
Description: c-di-GMP sequence
Rfam family: c-di-GMP-I riboswitch aptamer
About the family: GEMM was predicted in a large-scale screen for bacterial structured RNA regulatory elements. Genes associated with GEMM are involved in a diverse array of functions, including chemotaxis regulation, signal transduction, secretion and chitin.
Source: Rfam by way of RNAcentral